CUUAUUUUCUAAACUGUUUAUCAGAUCACUUUAAGAGUUGUGCUAGAAAUAAUAAGGCCUUGAAUAUCUUAAAGAUCCCCUUCCAUCGACUUUUUUUAAAAUUUAUUAUUUGAUGUCUUUUUAUCAGGUUUGCAAGAUCAUUUGUGUUAAAAUGCCCAGAAUGUCCUUUUUCAAGCUAUUCUAGUUAUUCUUUUUCACCUGGCAGUUGAGACAGACAGAUUUUUCAUUAAUAUUGGACAAGUAAAUAUGCUUCGCUCUGAUUGUAUCGCUAAUCUUUUUAAUGUAAAUAUGGAAAAUAGCUUUGCUCUGAUUGGCCGUUGGUGAUAUCUUGGCAGCCAAGCAUUUAUAGCGACCUCGCGUUUGGAUCAUUCGAUGUCUUACUAUUAGUGUUGAGAAAGUUCAUUUUCUACACCAACUAGUUGAAAAUUCAGUUGAUCUUUCCAAAAAUGAACGAGUUUAGUUCAUAGUUCACAAUUAAAAAUUUUUAACUAACUUCACCAUUCCAAAAAUCAUCUACUUCAUAAUUAUUUUUUGUUUUUUCUCAAUAUUUUGCUGAUAGGCUGUUACCCUCAAAAUACUGGCAUUUCAUUUUCCUUUUGUUGACCCCCAUUCAAUCCACAUGAGUAGCUAGUUGCAGCUUUCACCAUACAAGCUCUAAAACAAUUCGUUGUUUGAAUGGUAUUUUUCUAAAUUGAGGAAUUAAAAUAAAGGCGGCACGGUGGAGGACUAGUUGGCACAUCCGCCUCACAGUUCUGAGGACCAGGGUUCAGGCCCCGCCUGCGUGGAGUUUGCAUGUUCUCCCCGUGCCUGUGUGGGUUUUCUCUGGGUACUCCGGUUUCCUCCCACAUCCCAAAAACAUGCAUGGUAGGUUAAUUGAAAACUCUAAAUUGCCCGUAGGUGUGAAUGUGAGUGCGAGUUUGUUAAUAUGUGCCCUGCGAUUGGCUGGUGACCAGUUCGGGGUGUACCCCGCCUCUCACCCGAAGAUAGCUGGGAUAGGCUCAAGCACACCCGCGACCCUAGUGAGGGUAAGCGGAACGGAAACUGAAUGAAUGAAUGAAUGAAUUAAACUUUAGUCCUUAAUGUCCAAACAAAAAACACGCAACACAGUAUGACAGGAACAAUGGUGAAAGGACAUUUAUUUUGCAUUCCUUGCAGCUCUGGGUGACGAUAUUAACAAAAUACUUUAUUUGAUCUGUUUUUCGCUUUAAUCCAAACAUCCAUCCAUCCAUUUUCUACCGCUUAUCCGGGGUCGGGUCGCGGGGGCAGUAGCUUUAGCAGGGACGCCCAGACUUCCCUCUCCCCAGCAACUUCAUCCAGCUCUUCCGGGGGAUCCCGAGGCGUUCCCAGGCCAGCCGAAGGACGUAGUCUCUCCAGCGUGUCCUGGGUCGUCCCCGGGGUCUCCUCCCGGUGGGACGUGCCCAGAACACCUCACACCCACAGCUCGUGAUCAUAGGUGAGGGUAGGAACGUAGACCGACCGGUAAAUCGAGAGCUUCGCCUAUCGCCUUAGCUCCUUCUUUACCACAACAGAUCGAUACAAAGUCCGCAUCACUGCAGAUGCUGCACCGAUCCGCCUGUCAAUCUCCCGUUCUAUUCUUCCCUCACUCGUGACCCCAAGAUACUUGAACUCCUCCACUUGGGGCAGGAUCUCAUCCCCGACCUGGAGAGGGCACGCCACCCUUUUCCGACUGAGGACCAUGGUCUCAGAUUUGGAGGUGCUGAUUCUCAUCCCAGCCGCUUCACACUCAGCUGCGAACUGCUCCAGUGAUAAUUGGAGGUCAUGGCUUGAUGAAGCCAACAGAACCACAUCAUCUGCAAAAACCAGAGAUGCAUUACUGAGGCCACCAAACCGGACCCCCUCUACGCCUCGGCUGCGGCUAGAAAUUCUGUCCAUAGAAGUUAUGAACAGAAUCGGUGACAAAGGGCAGCCUUGGCGUAGUCCAACCCUCACCAGGAAUGAGUCCGACUUACUGAGUCUUCGAAGUAUUCUAGUCGAGGUCAGCAGUGCCCCAUCUCCACUAUACACAGUGUUGAUGGUGCACUGCUUCCCCCUCCUGAGAUGCCGGAUGGUGGACCAGAAUUUCCUCGAAGCCGUCCGGAAGUCUUUCUCCAUGGCCUCACCGAACUCCUCCCAUGCCCGAGUUUUUGCUUCAGCGACCACCAAAGCUGCAUUCCGCUUGGCCAGCCGGUACCCAUCAGCUGCCUCAGGAGUCCCACAUGCCAAAAAGGCCCAAUUAGUACGCCUUCUUCAGCUUGACGGCAUCCCUCACCGUUGGUGUCCACCAACGGGUUCGGGGAUUGCGGCAACGACAGGCACCAACCACCUUACGGCCGCAGCUCCGGUCGGCCGCCUCAGCAAUAGAGGUGUGGAACAUGGUCCACUCGGACUCGAUGUCCCCCGCCUCCCCCGGAACAUGAGCAAAGCUCUGUCGGAGGUGGGAGUUGAAACUCCUUCUGACAGGGGAUUCCGCCAGACGUUCCCAGCAGACCCUCCCAAUAAGUUUGGGCCUGUCACGUCGGACCUGCAUCUUCCCCCACCAUCGGAGCCAACUCACCACCAGGUGGUGAUCAGUUGACAGCUCCGCCCCUCUCAUUACCAGAGUGUCCAAGACAUGCGACCUAGGGUGUCCUGGUGCCAAGUGCAUGUGUGGACACCCUUAUGCUUGAACAUGGUGUUCGUUAUGGACAAUCUGUGACGAGCACAGAAUGCCAAUAACAGAACACCGCUCGGGUUCUGAUGGGGGGAGGGGGGGGGGGGGGCGUUCCUCCCAAUCACGCCCUUCCAGGUCUCACUGUCAUUGCCCACGUGAGCAUUGAAGUCCCGCAGCAGAACGAUGGAGUCCCCAGCGGGAGCGCUCUCCAGCACCCCCUCCAAGGACUCCAAAAAGGGUGGGUACUCUGAACUGCUGUUUGGUGCAUAGGCACAAUCAACAGUCAGGACCUGUCCCCCUACCCGAAGGCGGAGGUAGGCUACCUUCUUGUCCACCGGGGUGAACCCCAACGUACAGGCGCCGAGCCAGGGAGCAAUAAGUAUACCCACACCUGCUCGGCGCCUCUCACCGUGGGCAACUCCAGAGUGGAAGAGAGUCCAACCCCUCUCGAGAGGACUGGUACCAGAGCCCAAGCUGUGCGUGGAGGGGAGUCCGACUAUAUCUAGUCGGAACUUCUCGACCUCACACACCAGCUCGGGCUCCUUCCCUGCCAGAGAGGUGACAUUCCACGUCCCUAGACCCAGCUUCUUUAGCUGUGGAUCGGAUCGCCAAGGUCCCCGCCUUCGGCCACCGCCCAGCUCGCACUGCAACCAACACCUAUGGCCCCUCCCACAGGUGGUGAGCCCAUGGGAAGGGGGACCCUUUCGGGCUGUGCCCGGCCGGGCCCCAUGGGUGCAGGCCCGGCCAUCAGGCGCUCGCCUUCGAGCCCCACCUCCGGGCCUGGCUCCAGAGGGGGGCCCUGGUGACCCGCGUCUGGGCAAGGGAAACCUGAAUCCAUUUAUUGUACUCGUCAUAGGGUUUUUUUGGAGCCGUGCUUUGUCUGGUCCCUCACCUAGGACCUGUUUGCCAUGGGUGACCCUGCCAGGGGCAUAAAGCCCCAGACAACUUAGCUCCUAGGAUCAUUGGGACACACAAACCUCUCCACCACGAUAAGGUGACGGCUCAAGGAGGGUUUUUUUCUCUUUCACAAAACAAAAAAAAUUCAAUAUUAUGACAGUGUGAUUGUAUAGUUUUAACUAAAGCAUUCUGAUGCAAAUAAUAAUUUUCUUAGUAAUCAAUUUUUACAAUUAUGUACUGUAUUACAAAAGAACCACCAAAGAACACAUUCUCUCCCAUUUACGCCGUGUUCCUGAAUGCACCUCGCAUUCUCACGCAGCUGUGAUGUGGCUGCUAUCAAUGCCAGCUGUGGCCACACUGAAUUAGUUGCCAAAUACGCCGUUUAUUCCCCGAGAUACGAAGGCUUGCAUGUAAUGUGUUCAGAUGGGUUUCGUCCUGGAAGUCCCUUACAAAACCUAGCACUCUUGAAUGAAAAUGAACUGAUGUUAGAAAACCUUUCAUAGGCUCCAGAAUGAGCAAGUUCUUAAUAAUGUGCAUCAGGUAGAAAUGAACUAAUGUAGCGUUUAUUGGGGGACAUCAAAUUGUGCGUAAUUUAGAAGAAAACGAUGAGUUGGAAGCGGCGCCUGCGUCACUUCCGGUUUAUCGUAAUUUUAAAUUACAGCGCUAUAAAUCAAGAUAUUUGAUAGAUAUGAGGGGCACCACGUCAUAUUUGUACAAAUUUAACUUGAGGCGAAAUGACGACAAACCUUUAUAAUCAGUCUGUUGUCGGAAGGUGACUACAUUCUAGGAACUUUGAGUUCUAGACUUUCUAGAGGUUUCGUUCCGAACCCAAACACACAUAUAAUCAAUACAAGUGGUGAAUUUUAUCAAAAAUGUAUUCAUCAAAAAGGGUUUCUACAGGAUAAAACACAGACAAACACAAAACAAACAAGGUAUCUACAAACAUUGGCAAAGGAAGGGAUUUGUGACGUGAGAUGAGCAGAAUGGGAGUGUAGUGAAUGCAUAUAGCUGAGUCCUGACUCCUGACUCCUGGUCUCGUUAAUAUAAACCCAAAUAUGCACUAAUCCUUACUUUUAGUAGACCGCAAUGUUGGACUUACGUGUCUGGAACACGUUUGAAGCCGGCGAGUCAGGCUCCUAAGUGUUCGGCCGGCCCGGUCCGCACCGUGAGCAGGUGGAUUCGAUGGAAGGGAGGGAGGAAAAACAGGAGGCCGACGAGUUCUCAGGCAGGACGUCUUUCAAGUGAUGUUUGGAGCAGGCGUUGCAUCCACCUCCGUUCCCUCAGACUGAGUUCGGGCCCCCAAGCAGGGUGGCUCGGAGCGCUUACAGGAAGCAGCAGCCAGGGAUCGUCCGAUGUGUCCUUGUCACCUCAGGUGUGGUGGGCAUCCUUCCUGGCGCGGUCGUCGGUGAGUUGGUCGGAGUGACCAAAAAGCCUUGUGCACCAAGACUCCAAAAACUUCUCAACUUCUCCCAGCUCCGGCCCCUUUUAUGGCCAGAGCGGGUCAAACAGAGGGGUUUACCCCCUCCCCCCCCCCCCCCCCUCCUUUUCUACCACCUUUGCGAAUACCGAGGGGCUGGACUGCCUUUUGGCGUUAUUUUUCCAUUCUAGGAUUAUUUUGUGGUUCAAAACCAGUGGAAUAAAAUAUUAAUUAUUUGGUUUAAGAUAACUAGACAAUUUUCCUCAUGCUCCAUUGGUCCACGCUCAUCCUCUUUCAUAUCUGUAAUGAAUGUUUUAAAUGUUAUGUGGUGUGGAGGACAUCACUAUUUUCAUGUGACAUUUGUGGCAUGGGCUGAGACAUUCCAUCUGGUUCAGUUGACAACAGAUUUGACGUUAGACAUUCAAGUUUGCAGCAAUACAGUCACUAGUGGCGUUCAUGUAAAGUUCUUAAAAUAUUGACUCCCAGCCCAGUCACAGACUGUCUUAUGAACCCGUGUCUGUAGUGUCGUUCCGUCGCCCGUGGGUGUCGCUGUUGCCUGAUCCAACUCCCAAGUGGCAGCUCUCAGCAGGGUGGAGGCGUCGCCAGUCCUUCGACUGGCGGGGAGUUGAUUAACUUAGCAUUCGGGGGCGAACCCAGCAUCUGUGGGUCUCCCCUAUGAAGUCUCAAGCAGACGUGAUUCACUUAGCGUCGGCAUGGCAAAGCAAAUGUCUGUGUCUUGUUGAAGAUAGUUUGUGUUAAUCCGUUUAAAGUCUGCGUGUGACUCUGGAGUUACAGUCUACCUCGGCGGGGAGCGGCGGUAGUGCGAGGCUGGGGUGCCGGGUGGCAUCUUUGGCGUGGCGUGUCCGCUACAUAUCCCCCCUUCGGCGGCUGGAUCCGGCUCGAUGGCGGAUGUAGGUGACGUCUCGUUGAAAGAUGGCAGAGGUUGGCAGGAACACACGCACAACAAGGCAGUUACCAAAGUACAACCUUAGUGCAUAUCACCCCCCUUAUGGCUACAACAGUUGUUCAUAGCAACUUCCAAAAUAAGGUCAGCCUAUAUGUGUAUAUGGGUCAGGAUUGAUGCGUGUGGAUGGAUGUGUGUAGGUGUGGCUAUUGGGAUAGCAGGGAGAGUAGAAAUACGAGGCAUUGGGCGUAGCUAAAACUAAGGGUGAGCAUUACCUAGGUGUAGAGUUCUCAGUAACAAUCACACAAAAAAACAAAACAAAAAAACAAGAAGAGAACUCAACACGUCUCUACGGGGGAGAAAGAAAGAAAGAAGAGGUCGCUAGCUCCAACUUGGCACGUAGGGGGCACAGCGGUCGGGAGUACAACCCGACAAAUCAAUCAAGGUCUGUCUGUAUGGGGAUAGGUUCAGGUUCAGUCGUUCUUUUCCUACGGAAAAUUUCGGGUCGCGCACCUGAGCACUGGUUCAGAAGACCCUACAAGUUCUGAGUCUUUCGGUAGAGCAGGUAGGCGAUGCCGAAGGUCAUGCAGUAACCGAGACUGACCAGGGCAAUUAAGAUGUUAUCUGCUGCGGACCAGGAUUGCAUGAGCGGGAGCUUGGGUGUUCUGUCCUCAGUGCUAAUAGCGCGUAAGGUGUUGUCAAUGUGGGUGAUGUCAAUCGCCUGAGUUCCUUCAAACUGAAUCUGUGUAAGCGUCUCAGGAUCAACUCCCAAUUUGUCCUGUCCGAAAAAGUUAUAAAUCUCGAUUUCGCUCUCAUAAUUUUCGGUUGGCAGGUGGUAAAGGGUGACGUCCUCAAUAUGCAAGAUGGCUAAUGGGGUUUGCCAGAGCUUUAGACAGGAUGCUUUCCAUUAAGCUCAGGGGAACCAAAUACGGAGGGAUUCUACCCAUUGCUAAGUGGUCUAUGGACGAAGAGAUUUCACAUAGCAUGUCAUUCAUCAAUGUGGUAACAAUCUGUGUGUGAGCGUAAUCCGUUUGGACCAACGACAGUAGUUUACUUAUGCUCUGUCUAGUUUGGUUCAGGAUGACACUGUGAGUGUUGAGGACAAGGAUAGUACCCUUGAGUGUCUCCCAAACGAUUGGAGGUUUGCCGUUUGUCUCUCCAUGUUGCGUCGGAUGUUAGGCAUUUCGGUUUGAAGUUCACCAAUUUGUUUCUUAACCAUGUUUAAGAUGAUGGCGUUAACCGUGGAGGUUAUGCUAAACAAUGUGCCGAGGGAGGCGGCAGCCAUGAGGAGGCCCCCUACAAAAUGCUUUGAACCUCUGGGGCUUCCGCUGGGAUCGGCCUGAGUGAUGGAAAUUUUUUCUCAUUGCUGGAGCAUGUGAGUGGUGUCGAAAGCGGCAUGGUGGAUUGCGUUGCGAGACCACUUAGCUCCUGUGUUGGUGGUUUUGGUGGACGUCCCGACGUGUUUCAAAUUCACUUCCCGUGGUUCGAGGCGGAUGAACACUUUUUGCGUGUGUGUUCGACAGUUGGUGAUAAGCAGCCCCGGUUGGUCUUUCAGGGCGAUCCUGGAGGUGGGCCCUGGCCAAAUUAUUUCAGGCUGUGCAGUAAUGGAGAGCAAGUACAGCGCGAGUCUCAGUAGCAGCAUAAUUUUCCCGUGGCAAUGACAGGAUAACGGGUAGGUGACUAUACUGGCAUGGGUCGGUCUGGUGCUGAGACUCACUGGUUCCAAACCUUGAGAUUGAACCUCCAAGGACCGCCGGUGUUAAGUCCAACCCCGGGUUGAGCUCUAGAUCACGUUUGGUGUUACAAGCCUAAGUUGCGUCGAUUUAGCAUCCCUGUGGAGCCGGAGCUACUGGUCCCUUGUCGUUGGGACCGACCUCCGGUCGGGGUUCCGGUGGGGAACUCGGUGGUUCCUCACUGGGGAGCCUGGGACGGUGGUAUCUGUUUAUUUGAUUGCGAUGAACCCACUUUAACAGCGUGCCUUUACGGCCUUGGGUCAUUUUAAUUUGGUACGCCACCGGAGAGAGUUUGUCCACGAUCUCGUAGGGUCCCGCCCAAUGGGGAUGGAAUUUACGAGAUAUGGGGCAAAGGGUUUUCUGGUUAGUGUUGCCUGGUUGUGCAAACAGGUAGUACCACACCUAGUCCCCUAUUUGGAGUUCGUCCUGUGAGGUUUUCUGGUCAUAAUACGCCUUCUGGCCUUCCGCACUUCUCCCCAGGUGUCGCUGGGCAAUGGCGAAUGUGGCCUUUAAAUGGCCGUGUAGGUCGGUCAUGUAUUGGUGAGUCGUAUAGGCGAUGGCUAUGUUGGCCUCACCAGGUUGGUAUAGCAAGUGCAGAGGCAGUGUCAUGCGCCUUCCGGUCAACAUUUCGAAAGGGGACACUCCUGUGGAUUUGUGUGGGGUGACCCUGAGGGCCAUCAAUCUCAACGGGAGUUGACCAUUGGUCCCACCCAGUCAAUCUGAAGGUCAGACCACGGGAAUGAAACUCCUCUUUGUUGGAGAGGUGCUCUAUGUUUGGGGUUCGUUGGGUGAAAUUGGCAGCAUAACAGGCAGCCUUUGAUGUAGGCUGCUACAUCUUUCUGCAUGUGCGGCCAGUAUACUGCUUGGCGCAGGGCUGUGGUUGUUGCUCUGACGCCGCGGUGUCCUGCACAAGGUGCGUCGUGGGCAUAGGUCAACAUCACCUCCCAUAAACAAGUAGGCCUUUGACUAGACGCAGCUUGUCCCGUAUUAGCCACAAGUCUGCAGGGUCUUGGUCGGCGGUUAUGUCGUCGGCAGAGACUGGGUUUGCAUCGGAGUCGGAGAGCCAAUUGGAGAGCUUGGCGAGUGCUGUGUCACCGGAGUGUUGGGUGGUCAAGUCAAAGUCAAGAGUCGCAGAGGCACCAGGCAUUGGGUUGACGGAGUCGUACGAAGCAUCAUCCUGCGGCCGAGCAGCGGAAGGUGCAGCGGAGACAACUUGGCGGCGCGUGAUAACCGACACUGACGGGUUGGGUGGGGUGGGGAGCCAAGACGCAACGGUCGGAAUGUGCAAGUCGCUCAGCCCGCAGUCGAGUGAGUCUUUAGCGAAUGACACGGCGUCUUUGGUGAACUUCCCGCCAACGCUGUCGUUUGUCCUCGGAACUUAGGGCGUCAGCAUCCGCUAGGAUCUGCUGCGUGUGGGUUUCAAAGUCGGGAUAAGGGAGCAGGCGACUAUCACACAGUGUUACCGGUGCAGACGAGUUGGUUCGCGAUGAGUUUGAGGGAGUGGGUGAAGUUGCGGGAGACGCGUUUUUGGGUGCAGCUGGGAUUGUACUGAGCGCAUGGAUGACCAAGUGUUGGUCUGUAGCCAGGUCCACUCUGAUGAUGUCAUCCCCCUCAGUAGGUCCCACUGGAAUGAGAGCAAUGUGUCGCAAAGGAACAGUGAGCUGUACUCCACCAGUGCUAGGCAAUGGGAAGAUGUCUAGUGGAAGGUGACCAAUCACAGGGACCGUGAGAUUGAAGUCGUGGAAGUCGGAGCAGAUCAAGAGGCCAAGCCUAGUGGAUCUGGGGAAGUGAAAGUCGUUCCGUGUGGUUGUGAAUCAGCAGCACGGUUGUUCGGGAAGCGUCGAGGACGGGGGUGGCAUGUUAAACUCUGUCAAAGGCUGAAAGAACGCAUCCGGACCGAUUACGGCUUGGUUAGUCGAAUAGGGAAGUUGAUAGUUGACGCUUUUACUAUAACUUUGUCUUCGCUCAAUACUUUGCAAGCGUUGGGGAUGGUUUGUCCCAACUUUAGGUUUAACGAUUGGUUUAACGCGGUUGUCGGUUGCCGCCGCCAUUAGUGUGUGACCACAAAACAUUGUUAAUAGUGUCAAUUUGAACGGCCAGUCGGACAAGUACAUCCGCGCCAACAUAAGCUUUAUGCGGCAAAUUGGGGACUACUAGGAAGCAGUGAGUUAACAAACGAUGUUUCCAUUGCAGGUUUUAGGGCGCAUACGGUGACUGCAGACGGUGGGACGGUGUUAACGGGAAAGCAAAAUGUUUUCAGCGUUAACUGAAGGUCAGGAUGCUUAAGUCGUAGGUUGUCAAACAGUGCCUGAGAGAUUGCCGAUUUGUCAGCCCACAAAGCCAGGAUGACAUCGUCUGUUGGGCAGUCAUGCAAAUUACUUCCACCAGCAACAUUGGGGCCGUAGCGCUCUUCGUGCGGUGUGGACAAGAUGGCAGAGAAACGUGUCAAGUUUAGCUUGAUAUUAGUUACUGAAAAUGCACAGAUAGUUAGUGCGCAGCGAAGCAGUUGAAGGUCGCGGCCACUGGCUUGUAGCAAUGUCAGAAGUUGAUAGAACACAGCAUGGGACAUAGCCGUGAUGUCUGCUGCGGGGUCAAUCAGAGGUUCUUGGACAAGAUCAUGCUCAAGCGUAACGGGUAAAUAGAACUUUCGGGAUGUACCUUUAGCGGUUAGUUCACCCAAAAGCUGUCGGAAUGGCAGAACGUUAUUUAGUAGUGUGAUGUCACGCGAGUCAGGGGCCUCGCCUGGGUCUAGUCGGAUGAUUAGGACGACACAAGAGGGGUUUAGGGAUUGGUCGUCACAAAGUGAUCUGCUAAGGUUAUGGCAAGGUGAGGUCGUCGAGGAGUUGGCCGGGGUCACGGCGGCCUUGGCAGGUCAUUAGGGGAACAACGCAGGUUACCUGGUUGACCUAUUGCGUCUUCUGUGGCCCUGGUCGACUCAGUCAGUCCUUGUCAUAAUGAUGGGUCCCGCUUUAUGUCUUUGGACAGGCUACGGAGCACCUCAAGUAAUUCUUCUGCCACGGCACUAAAUUUCCUUUGAGAGCUGUUGGUUCGGGAGCCCUUUUCCCGGUUGUCACUUGUCGCUUUAGGGCCUCGGUUGGACGAGUCAGAUUUAUCCUGGUCGUUACGUGUACCCUGUUUUGACUUGUAAGUUUGGCGCGAAUUAGAACUGCGGUCAUUCCAUGAUUUUGAUUUAUCGUUGGCGUUGUUGGUUACGAGGACCAUUGUUGUACGUGGGCCGAGAUUGGUUGUAUGGGUUCAACGACUUCUUUUGAUUGUCGGGUUUAACAUCGCCAGAACGUGGUGUGUUGAUCACACGCGUGUUGUACGUAGCGCCCUCUAAUUCCAUCUGUGGUGAUGCGUUUGUAAAGAAGACGCCUGAGUCUUGUGCUUUAGAGGGAGGGUGUUUUUGUUUAGCAAAACCCUUGGCGGCCAGUUCACGCAGCUGGGCACUGGACAGUGUGAGCGGGCACGCUCCUACGCUCAGGUGGUGACUGGUGUUAGGAUGUAGGUUUUUGACAAACAGUGUUUUGAAACGUUUGUCCUCCUCCAUAUUCGGUUCAUUUAAAUUUCCAAAGUAUGGUUCACGCAACCCGCAGUAAUAAGCUUGGGGUGUCUAAAGUCUACCCUGUUUAACUGUGUGGUAAGCCGGUUGUGACCUUUGGGUCAUCAAAUUCUCAAGACAAUGCUUGGGAGAGGGCCGGGUAAUCAGCCAGCACAUGAGCCGGUUGUUCUUCAGUUAAGCUGCUGACUUCUCGGCUCGAUGUAAGUUUCAUAAGGUACAGUCUGUCGUCCGUAGUAGCAGAAGGGAAUCGUUUAAGGUGAUAUUUGAGGUCUCCAAGGCACGCGGCUGUGUCAUGUGACCCGUUUGAGGUUCAAACCUCGGAAUGUUGCGCGCCACUUUGUCUAAGUCUCUGAGAGUCAUAUCUGGAGCAGCGCUGGGUGGAGGAAGAGUCGGGGGUGAGUCGAAAAGGUGAGCUGCGACAGGUGGGGCUGCCACCCAUGAGGUGGCCGCACAGCGCCCCCUUAAGGUGGGUUCCGGCCCAAAGGUUGGAGAUGUUUUGUAGGGCUCUGUGACACUUCUGGUGAGGGAGGGCCCCACGCUGUCUGUAGCAGGAGCCGGAACACUGGGAUGAGUCAGAGAGUAAGUGGGCAGCUGUUGAUAUAAUUGUAGCUCACGCCUGACAUGGGUUAACUCAUCCUCUUGGUCCCGGAGUUGUUGCUGGAGGUGGGACAGCUCCGUCUCCCUGAUUACCAUCUGUGUUUUGAGCCCGUACGACUGUUCGCUUUGGAGCGUUCCACUUUGAGUGUCUCGGUGCGUUCGGUGAGCCGCUGAAUGUCACCGGAAGCUUGCCACACCAGAAUAGUUGCUCGCUGAUGUUCGGCCCGUAAUUCAAGUACUUGGUCAUUAGACAGUCGGUCGGCUAAUUCUACCAAUUAAGCUUUUAAGUGGGCAAUCUCGGCAUAAGCGUCUUGUAGUUGGUUAUACUGACCUCCGGAAGUUAAUUCGCUCGAGGUCGGGGCUUGGGUUGUUUUAUCAUCCUCAUUGUUUAAUCUGCCGCCGGAAAACGGUUAGCUAAGAAGAAGUGGGACACUGAGAGGACCGAGGAGAGGCGAAAGGAAUACAUUGAGAUGCGACACAGGGCAAAGGUAGAGGUGGCAAAGGCAAAACAAGAGGCAUAUGAUGACAUGUAUGGCAGGUUGGACACUAAAGAAGGAGAAAAGGAUCUAUACAGGCUGGCCAGACAGAGGGAUAGAGAUGGGAAGGAUGUGCAGCAGGUUAGGGUGAUUAAGGAUAGAGAUGGAAAUAUGUUGACUGGUGCCAGCAGUGUGCUAGGUAGAUGGAAAGAAUACUUUGAGGAGUUGAUGAAUGAGGAAAAUGAUAGAGAAGGGAGAGUAGAAGAGGCAAGUGUGGUGGACCAGGAAGUGGCAAUGAUUAGUAAGGGGGAAGUUAGAAAGGCAUUAAAGAGAAUGAAAAAUGGAAAGGCAGUUGGUCCUGAUGACAUUCCUGUGGAGGUAUGGAAGCAUCUAGGAGAGGUGGCUGUGGAGUUUUUGACCAGCUUGUUCAAUAGAAUUCUAGUGCGUGAGAAGAUGCCUGAGGAAUGGAGGAAAAGUGUACUGGUGCCCAUUUUUAAGAACAAAGGUGAUGUGCAGAGCUGUGGCAACUAUAGAGGAAUAAAGUUGAUGAGCCACACAAUGAAGUUAUGGGAAAGAGUAGUGGAGGCUAGACUCAGGAGAGAAGUGAGUAUUUGCGAGCAACAGUAUGGUUUCAUGCCUAGAAAGAGUACCACAGAUGCAUUAUUUGCCUUGAGGAUGUUGAUGGAAAAGUACAGAGAAGGUCAGAAGGAGCUACAUUGUGUCUUUGUAGAUCUAGAGAAAGCCUAUGACAGAGUACCCAGAGAGGAACUGUGGUACUGCAUGCGGAAGUCUGGAGUGGCAGAGAAGUAUGUUAGAAUAAUACAGGACAUGUACGAGGGCAGCAGAACAGCGGUGAGGUGUGCUGUCGGUGUGACAGAAGAAUUUAAGGUGGACGUGGGACUGCAUCAGGGAUCAGCCCUGAGCCCCUUCCUUUUUGCAGUGGUGAUGGAUAGGCUGACAGAUGAGGUUAGACUGGAAUCCCCGUGGACCAUGAUGUUUGCAGAUGACAUUGUGAUUUGCAGUGAAAGCAGGGAGCAGCUGGAGGAACAGUUAGAAAGAUGGAGGCAUGCACUGGAAAGCAGAGGAAUGAAGAUUAGCCGAAGUAAAACAGAAUAUAUGUGCAUGAAUGAGAGGGGUGGUGGGGGAAGAAUGAGGCUACAGGGAGAAGAGAUGGCAAGGGUAGAGGACUUUAAAUACUUGGGGUCAACCGUCCAGAGCAAUGGUGAGUGUGGUCAGGAAGUGAAGAAACGGGUCCAAGCAGGUUGGAACGGGUGGAGGAAGGUGUCAGGUGUGUUAUGUGACAGAAGAGUCUCUGCUAGGAUGAAGGGCAAAGUUUAUAAAACAGUGGUGAGGCCAGCCAUGAUGUAUGGAUUAGAGACAGUGGCACUGAAGAGAAAACAGGAAGCAGAGCUGGAGGUGGCGGAAAUGAAGAUGUUGAGGUUCGCUCUCGGAGUGACCAGGUUGGAUAAAAUUAGAAAUGAGCUCAUCAGAGGGACAGCCAAGGUUCGAUGUUUUGGAGACAAAGUUAGAGAGAGCAGACUUCAAUGGUUUGGACACGUCCAGAGGAGAGAGAGUGAGUAUAUUGGUAGAAGGAUGAUGAGGAUGGAGCUGCCAGGCAAGAGAGCUAGAGGAAGACCAAAGAGAAGGUUGAUGGAUGUCGUGAGGGAAGACAUGAUGGCAGUUGGUGUUCGAGAGGAGGAUGCAGGAGAUAGGCUCUCAUGGAAAAGGAUGACGCGCUGUGGCGACCCCUAACGGGACAAGCCGAAAGGAAAAGAAGAAGAAGAUUGUUUAAUCUGCCGCUGUCUUUAGGCAGCAACUGUGCAGCAGCAACUAUGCAGCCUCAGCUGCAGCAGUGAGGCUGGAGCCUAUCCAAGCUAUCAUCGGGCAGGAGGCAGGGUACAGCCUGAACUGGUUGCCAGCCAAUUGCAGAAAUAAUAAUCAAAAUAAAAAAAAAAAUAAAAAAAAUAUUCCAAAAGAAAAGUUUCAAAAAAAUUUUUUUUCAGAAAAAUUGAAAUCAAAUCAAGUUUUUCUUUUACUUUUUUCACCCAAAAAAUAAACCAGAGUGAUUACAACAGCCAAGCAAGUGCCGACGCUUUCCGGCGGUGAAACUCUUUAGAGUCUCACGUUGUAAAUCCCAAAACUGGUUAAAAAUACCAGGCAUAAAGCUUUAAAGAACGAUCACGGCGUCUGCGUUUCGAAAACGAGCGAAAACGGAGGCUUUAAAUUUAAAACGCUCUUUAAAACUAUCAUGAAUUAAGCCAAGCUCUCGGGGUUAUUCGGUUCCCUGGGCAACUGGUGACGCCAGGCUGCGCGGUGCGCGCAGCGCACACCGGAAGCUUAUCAGCAUACAAAAAGCACAUGGCGGUGCUUAUUAUGAAAGCCCACGUUUAUUGUUUCGAAAGCAACGACCCAAGAUGAACACAAUGCCUUAGCACACGAUCGGUAAUGGCUAACUAGCGGCUUGAGCUGGAGCUAGUCAACGCAAUUUUCCAGUCACACACCCGGAAGUUGCGUGAUGGAAUGAACGUCCACGAGGGGCACUCGAGGACAACAACUCGAGGAGCUUAUGCUACGGAUCACGCCACGAAGGAAGAAACCAGGGUGGCAACGUCUCGAUGACGUCACGUCUCUCCAAGACGGAAGACGAAUUACGAAGCCUUGAGUCUUUAAAUGACCAAAUGGCAUUCAGUGAGAGGCUUGUGAUUUUAUCACAAAGCAAAAAUGGCGACCGUCGUGGGUGCCACGUGUGUUUUUUUUUUCUUUUUUACACACAAAGAGCUAGCACUCUAGCUCAGAGUUCGACUGACGUGUAACGGGAUUCUCGGUAUAGAACACGUUCUCGUGACCAGGGACUUCCCAAACCUCCUAUUUACACAGCGAAACUCAGAAUAAAAUUCCCAACACCACAACGGGCAUAUAGCUAGUUUGGUUAGCAACUCCAGACCAUAGCGGGAAGAAGACGAGGACCGUGCGAACGCUCAGGAUUCGUGACCUGUUCGCGAUCCUCGAAGGCCUUUUCAAAAUAACUCUACAUAGGAAAUCUCCCCACAGUUCAAAGCAUGCAGCGCAUAAAACGGAUAUCCAAAUAAAAGUUACAGUGCAACGCUAGUUUCACUAGGGGUAAUCUUUGUUUCUCUUAUUAAUAAGUGCUCGGUCUUUGGUCGCUAUGGUAAAGGAAUGUGACAACAUAGCCACAGUCUAGAUAGCAGGGGACGUGCCUCGACAUGACCCUGCCAAGAUGGCACUGCCGUUUUGGUUUAUUGCAAUAUAUCGGGGGUUUUGUGUUUGGAUUAGGAAUAAAACUUACUACACGGGCACCAUUCUGUAGCGUUUAUUGGGGGACAUCAAAUUGUGCGUAAUUUAGAAGAAAACGAGUUGGAAGCGGCGCCUGCGUCACUUCCGGGUUAUGGUAUUUUUAAAUUACAGCGUAAAAUAAAUCAAGAUAUUUGAUAGAUAUGAGGGGCACCACGUCAUAUUUUUAUAAGUUUAACUUGAGGUGAAAUGACGACAAACCUUUAUAAUCAGUCUCUUGUCGGAAGGUGGGUACAUUCUAGGAACUUUGAGUUCUAGACUUUCUAGAGGUUUCGUUCCAAAGCCAAACACACAUAUAAUCAAUGCAAGUGGCGAAUUUUAUAGAAAAUUUAAUAAUCAAAAAUGGUUUCUACAGGAUAAAACACAGACAAACACAAAACAAGCAAGGCAUCUACGAACAUUGACAAAGGAAGGGAUUUGUGACAUGAGCAGAAUGGGCGUGUAGUGAAUGCAUAUAGCUGAGUACUCCUGGUCUCGUUAAUAUAACCCCAAAUAUGCACUAAUCCGUACUUUUAGUAGACCGCAAUGUUAGACUUACGUGUCUGGAACACGUUUGAAGCUGGCGAGUCAGGCUCCCGAGUGUUCGGCUGGCCUGGUCUGCACCGUGAGCAGGAGGAAGGAAGGGAGCGAGGAAAACAAGAUGGCUGCCGGGGUGCAGCCACACAGUUUGGCAGGUCCCGUGCGUUUGCUUAAAAAGUCAUCCAAAGAUCAAAUAGGACCAUGGAUUAUGCUAUCAACGUAUUCCUUUACUGUUUGGAUAACCCUCUAUCUUCUGCUAAAUUCAACAUGUCCAAGAAAAAGGGACACCCUAACCUUGUAUCCAGCCAGAUGGAGUCAGCACAUGCUAUUCACAAGGGUACUGGACUAUGGCCAUGCCAGGCCACCCCCAGGUGAGCAGGAACAGGCUGUCUCAGGCAAACCACUCCUGGGUGUUUUUAAUCUCUUGAUGAUACUUCUUUUGCCUGGUGAUGUUGAACUAAACCCUGGGCCAGUACUAGCUGGGCCUCCACCUCUGCUACCUGGGCCAACAUCACUGCCAUCUGGGCCUUUACCUCGAGCAGCCGGGCUAACACCAAUGCUAGAUCAGCUAACAUCAUUGCUAGCUAGGCCUCCACCUCUACCGGCUGGGCCUCCACCUCUGCUAGCUGGGCCUCUACCACUGCCACCUGGGCCAACACCACUGCUAGUUGGGCCUCCACCACUGCUAGCUGGGCCUCCACCACUGCUGGCCGGGCCUCCACCAUUGCCGGCCGGGCCUCCACCACUGCCGGCUGGGCCUCCACCACUGCCGGCUGAGCCUCCACCCCUGCCGGCUGGGCCUCCGCCUCUGCCGGUUGGGCCUCCACCUCUGCCGACUGGGCCUCCACCACUGCUGGCUGGGCCUCCACCACUGCCGACUGGGCCUCCACCACUGCCGGCUGGGCUGGAAAUGUUACUGAAACAACUCAAUCUUGCAAAAGAGGUAUCACCACAGUGCUUACCAUGACAACUCUUAGCACCAUCUCCAGAAAGUCCUUGCCCAAGGUGUCAUAUGUUACAGCAAUGGACUUGUUUGUCUCUGUCUGCUUCAUCUUCACCUUUGCUGCUCUCAUGGAGU
Phyllopteryx taeniolatus (common seadragon) is the source of this 17145-nucleotide RNA transcript. It is a transcript of the gene named gamma-aminobutyric acid type A receptor subunit gamma1, with no coding region annotated. The record is from RefSeq and is a predicted model, not a curated record. The transcript is spliced from 2 exons. Lineage: Eukaryota; Metazoa; Chordata; Actinopteri; Syngnathiformes; Syngnathidae.